Molecule: long non-coding RNA, 245 nt
Organism: Suricata suricatta (meerkat)
Lineage: Eukaryota; Metazoa; Chordata; Mammalia; Carnivora; Herpestidae
Exons: 3
Source: RefSeq, a predicted model, not a curated record
GUUGUUUUGGAAUCCAACUUCACCCAAAUUCUCUGUUCCAGUAUCUGUUAUGAAGGAAAUUCUAUUUCCAGAAUAUGAGAGUUUUCAAGCCAGCAAAAUUUUAAUUGAAAAAUGUUCAUCAGGAAGCAAGGAAAGUGUCAUUUUACAUCAGCAUACCAGAAGUCCUAGGUUUCUUUUCCUAAGGAAAUCUGCAUCAUUUCAAAAUAUCCAAAAAUGUUUCAGCACACCAUCUCUACAAUUAAAGG